Molecule: ribosomal RNA, 450 nt
Filed under: uncultured bacterium
Lineage: Bacteria
Description: partial 16S ribosomal RNA
Rfam family: Bacterial small subunit ribosomal RNA
Source: RNAcentral
GUGGGGAAUAUUGGACAAUGGGCGAAAGCCUGAUCCAGCCAUGCCGCGUGUGUGAAGAAGGUCUUCGGAUUGUAAAGCACUUUAAGUUGGGAGGAAGGGUAGUAACCUAAUACGUUGCUACUUUGACGUUACCGACAGAAUAAGCACCGGCUAACUUCGUGCCAGCAGCCGCGGUAAUACGAAGGGUGCAAGCGUUAAUCGGAAUUACUGGGCGUAAAGCGCGCGUAGGUGGUUCAGUAAGUUGGAAGUGAAAGCCCCGGGCUCAACCUGGGAACUGCUUUCAAAACUGCUGAGCUAGAGUACGGUAGAGGGUGGUGGAAUUUCCUGUGUAGCGGUGAAAUGCGUAGAUAUAGGAAGGAACACCAGUGGCGAAGGCGGCUCACUGGCUCGAUACUGACGCUGAGGUGCGAAAGCGUGGGGAGCAAACAGGAUUAGAUACCCCAGUAGUCC